Non-coding RNA from Rattus norvegicus (Norway rat), 5856 nucleotides. The record is from RefSeq and is a predicted model, not a curated record. NCBI's taxonomy places the organism in Eukaryota, Metazoa, Chordata, Mammalia, Rodentia, Muridae.
UGAUGUUGAGAGAUAUUAAGGAAUAGUGAUUAUUGCUUCCCGUUAUAUUCAUAUUUGGAUGUGAGGUUAUGUUUGUGUGCUUUCAUUCUCUUUGUUUUGUUGCCAAGACGAUUAGUUUCUUGCUUCUUCUAGGGUAUAGCUUGCGUCCUUAUGUUGGGCUUUACCAUUUAUUAUCCUUUGUACUGCUGGAUUUGUAGAAAGAUAUUGUGUAAAUUUGGUUUUGUCAUGGAAUAUCUUGGUUUCUCCAUCUAUGUUAAUUGAGAGUUUUGCAGGAUACAGUAACCUGGGCUGGCAUUUGUGUUCUCUUAGGGUCUGUAUGACAUCAGUCCAGGAUCUUCUGGCCUUCAUAGUUUCUGGCGAGAAGUCUGGGGUGAUUCUGAUAGGUCUGCCUUUAUAUGUUACUUGACCUUUUUCCCUUACUGCUUUUAAUAUUCUUUCUUUAUUUUGUGCAUUUGGUGUUUUGACUAUUAUGUGACGGGAGGUGUUUCUUUUCUGGUCCAAUCUAUUUGGAGUUCUGUAGGCUUCUUGUAUGCCUAUGGGUAUUUCUUUUUUUAGGUUAGGGAAGUUUUCUUCUAUGAUUUUGUUGAAGAUAUUUACUGGUCCUUUGAGCUGGGAGUCUUCACUUUCUUCUAUACCUAUUAUCCUUAGGUUUGAUCUUCUCAUUUAGUCCUGGAUUUCCUGUAUGUUUUGGACCAGUAGCUUUUUCCGCUUUACAUUAUCUUUGACAGUUGAGUCAAUGAUUUCUAUGGAAUCUUCUGCUCCUGAGAUUCUCUCUUCCAUCUCUUGUAUUCUGUUGGUGAAACUUGUAUCUACAGCUCCUUGUCUCUUCUUUUGGUUUUCUAUAUCCAGGGUUGUUUCCAUGUGUUCUUUCUUGAUUUCUUCUAUUUCCAUUUUUAAUUCCUUCAACUGUUUGAUUGUUUUUUCCUGGAAUUCUUUCAGGGAUUUUUGUCAUUCUUUCAGGGAUUUUUUCGAUUCCUCUCUGUAGGCUUCUACUUGUUUAUUAAUGUUUUCCUGUGUUUCCCUAAGGGAGUUCUUCACGUCUUUCUUGAAGUCCUCCAGCAUCAUGAUCAAAUAUGAUUUUGAAACUAGAUCUUGCGUUUCUGGUGUGUUUGGACAUUCCAUGUUUGUUUUGGUGGGAGAAUUGGGCUCCGAUCAUGCCACGUAAUCUUGGUUUCUGUUGCUUGGGUUCCUGUGCUUUCCUCUCGCCAUCAGAUUAUCUCUAGUGUUACUUUGUUCUGCUAUUUCUGACAGUGGCUAGACUGUCCUAUAAGCCUGUGUGUCAGGAGUGCUGUAGACCUGUUUUACUGUUUUCUUUCAGCCAGUUAUGGGGACAGAGUGUUCUGCUUUCGUGCGUGUAGUUUUUCCUCUGUACAGGUCUUCAACUGUUCCUGUGGGCCUGUGUCUUGAGUUCACUUGCAGCAUACAAGUUGGUCUUACCUGUGGUCGCGAGGCUCAUGUUCGCUCGCGGGGUGCUGCCCACGGGCUCUCUGCAGUGGCAGCAACCAGGAAGACCUGUGCCGCCCCUUCCGGGAGCUUCAGUGCACCAGGGUUCCAAAUGGCCUUUGGUGUUUUCCUCUGGCGUCCGAGAUGUAUGUACAGAGAGCAGUCUCUUCUGGUUUCCCAGGCUUGUCUGCCUCUCUGAAGGUUUAGCUCUCCCUCCCACGGGAUUUGGGUGUAGAGAACUGUUUAUCCAGUCUGUUUCCUUCAGGGUCCGGCGGUUUCUCAGGCAUGGGUCCUGCCGCUCCUGGGCCCUCCCCCACAGGAGCCCAGAGGCCUUAUACAGUUUCCUCUUGGGCCAGGGAUGUGGCCAGGGGUGGGCUGUCUUGGUGGUCUCUUCUGCUCUGCAGCCUCAGGAGUGCCACCUGACCAGGCGGUGAGGUCUCUUUCCCCCCGGGGUCUGGGAGCAGAGAGCUGCUGCGGGCCCGCAUCUACAUUUUCUGUUGUGAUGGUUCUUUGGCAGCACUGGAAACUAGGAUUCCUUCUCAUUUUUCCUUUUACAUUUUCUAAGAUAUCAACAUAACCUAGUCACAGGAUCUUCAAAACUUGGUUCAACUCUUUACUCUCUGACAGCUACUUCUACUUCCCAAGCCGCCUUCAUUUUCUGCCUGUGAAACCAUGGCAAGAUCCUAUUUCCUACUACCACAUGCAGACCUGUUAUACCAUUGUCCAUCUAAUACCCAGACUAUUUCAGUAUAACUCCCAGAUCACAUCAUUCUCAUACUUAAAAUUCUCCAUUGGCUCUGCAUUUCUCUUGGCCUCCUUGCCAAGUUCUUGGUGAUUAUCUUGAGUUAGACCUAUCUUCCUCUGGUUUCAUUGUCUAUGGUUCUCUUUGCCUAGGUUUCUAUGCCUACCUUCCAUAAGGGAUGCUAACUGCACUCUUCCUGCAGACCUGUGCUGCUACUUUUGAAAGUGCUUUGCCCAUGGUACCUAUAGUGACUGGCUCCUUUUUCGAUCAUUCACAUCACAGCUCAGAUUUAGCUGGCACGUCAACUUAAUGAAAGUUGGUAGGCAUCCUAUAACUAGGACCCCUCUCUCACCUUCUGCUAAGUAUUUUAAAUUGGAGAUAUUUAUUUUAAUAGGGAAAACUGAAGGAGUCAUGUGAGAAAGUGUCCUUUGGCUAAUAUCUAGUCUUUGCUGAUGAAUUAUUUUCACAGCUUCUUUUAGGAUAGCAGUUGCAAAGGAAACAUAAUUUGUUCUCUGAGAAUUACAGCUUAUAUUUGACCACAAGCACUCAUCUAUUGCUGGCUUUUACUUAAGCUAUUUAAAAGGGGUCAAGCUGUGUACAGCAUAGAUGGAGAAACAAAAGACGAAUGAACUGUGGGCAGCUGCCUGAAGCUUCACAUUGACAUGUUUCCAGCAGAGAGCGCAGGCGACGCGUGCGCUCUGGGACGGGAAGCCAUCAGACUGUGGUACAUAAUUAGACAUGCAUUCUCAAGUUUGCCCCUCUGGUUCAAUAUUUUCAACUUGAACAUGUGUCUGGGGUGAUAGCACACCGUAGGGAGCAUUACAUGAAAAGAUGCUUCUGAGGAGAAGAGCAUGCAAGCUUAUUGAAGAAAAGGAUUCUAGUGGAAACCUCUUUCCCACCAUUUUCCACAGGGUACCAUCUGUUUAUUUCAGGGACCCUCCCCCCCCGAGCAACAUUGAUAGUUCCUUCCUGAACAUGUUGCUGCUGUAGGACAGAGGGACCAUUUAUACAGUUUUGUAGUUCUCUAAUUCUAUGUACUAGAAAAGUAACAUUUAAAACCAAAGCCAAAUACUUAGCAAGACAAGCAGCCAUGAGAGGUCCUGUCCCCACACUCAGUCCCUCCUUUUGGCUCUUAAACUGCAUGUUCAUAGCUCCUCUUUGUACCUGAGCUUCAUUCAAACACCCUAUGGAAGUCACUCUACCACCCAUUUCUACCUUCAAGAUCUAGAGUCCUGCCUUUCUCAUACAUCUCUGCUGUCUAGCAUUUUUAUCUGAUGCUUUUUUUUUUUUUUUUUGUAUUUUCAGUUUCAUUCCCUGGGUUGAUGUGUAAGGAUAUUUAUCGCUAGGAGGGCAUUCCCACUGAAGACUGUGGUACAGGAAUAGGCUCUGCCUAUUUUGGGUGUGCCCUCAAAUGCAGGAGUGGAUCUUGCGGGGGCAUCACUGAUCUCACUGCUGGUCACCACCGGGAAAUGCUUACUUCAUGGAGGCUAUUGUCACAGGGAUGCUAUUUUUUUCUGUUAAACAUACUUUCUGUAGUUUAAAUCUUGGAAGAGUUAACUUUGGAAGAUGGAGCAAUGGCUCAGUGAUUAACAGCAAUUGUUACACUUUCAGAGGACCCAAGUUCAGUUCUUAGCACCGACUAAUCAGGCCUGUAACUUCAACUUUAGGAGUUGACCUGAUAUACUCUUCUGGCCUCCCCUGACACAGGCAGGCAGACACACACACACACACACACACACACACACACACACACACACACACACACAUUAUAAAAUUAAAAACCUUUUAAAAAGAACUUUUUCCUGAGGACAAUAAAACUAGUAACACCAAGAAAUUAGCUUAGAAAUCUGUGUACCUGUUUAUUGUCACAUGAUACCGGAAUCUCUCCUUUUUGACACUUAAAUAAUUGUAUUUCUAUAACUUUUCAUAGUUUUUUUGGGGAUCAUAAAUGGAAAGUCUAAUUAAAGUUGAAGCUAAUACUCAGUUUAUGGGUUUGAUUUAAUAAGUAUGAAAUUAGCUUUAAUAUUCAGAUGGUCUUUUGAGAAAAACACAUUUGUUCAUUAAAUGUGGCGUCCCUAGUUCCCUUCCCUCUGUGGUUGUAUAAGAUCCAAAUGACAGGGUUGAUCCGAGAAGUUAUUAUGUUGUUUUAAAAGUCAUCAAAUGUUUUCACAACUGUAAUCUUAUUUAAAUACAGUCUCUGUUCUCAGAAAACUUACAUUGAAAAAAUAAAACUAUUAAUGCACCUUUCUUGGAGAACUAUUAAAUAGAGAUGUGGAUACAUUUAAAUGGAAUAAGAGAGAAAGGUCAGCAUAAAUGGAAUAAAUCUCAAUGACAUUCAGCCUGUCCACACUUCUGGUUGGCUUUGUAAUAAGUAUAUGAGCCUCCAUAUUAUUGGUAUUUUAUGUCACCUGUUUUCCCUUUGUAAGAAUGGCCAUGGCUAUUCAUGGGCUGUCUGAAUAUGGAACAUGUUGUGCCUACUCACCUUCGACUGCAUGAGUCAUUUAGACAACCAGAGAUAUACACUCACGGAAUGAGAUCACUCCCCCAGACACCAAAUAAUAAUGUCUGCCCUUAGGGACAAGCAGAGGAGCGGCUGCACCUGGACUCCUUGUGUUACACCCUGUGUCUCUUUACCUUUGCAGGCUUGCUUGGUUCUCCUCCAAAGAACCACCUAUAGUGCUUAUAAUCUCUUACAUUUUCUCUAUCAGUUUCUGGACUCCGAGGACGUGUUGCCUCGAGUAGGCACCAUACAUUUCUUAGGGAAGAUUUUGCAGCUGAAAACUAAGAGUUCAUUUAUGAGAUCGGUUUUUAAUAGUUUUCUUUCUCUUGCUCAGCCCUAGCCUGGACUUGUUUAUUAUACUGUGGUCACACAACUCAUAAUGGCUCCAGGGUUAGAAGGACUACAGAGCUCACUUAUGUGAUUCUGAGCAGGAAUUCUGUGUUACAGAACAAGACAUGCUAUGUGUUCAUUAAAAAUCUGAAGAAGCCAGCAUCUUAAGUGAAGAUUUAUUAUAUGUUUUCAAGAUCCUCAUUCCGUGAUCCUAAGGCUGGACACAGGGAGUAGAAUGCUAUGCCUGUGAACUUUGCUUAGCUUAUACCAUGUAGCGUGUUACUCGGAUUUUGGCCACUGUGACACACACUGGAGAUAAUCAGCUUAGAAGGAGAAAGAUUAUUGCAGGGUUAUAAGAUCAGCAAAAGAGAAGGAUGGAGGAAGAAGUCUAUGUGUUUUGCAUCAGCAAUUCAGGACUGUCAUCUGGAAAUGACCCCACUCAUGCUCACUGGUAGCAUGCCCUGUCUCCACAACAGGGAGCCAAGAAGUUCAGCUUUUUAAUUAUCCAGAAGAAAUGGACAAAUGGAUACCAGCCAUUAGCUCUAUCCAGAACCUCAGCCUGUGGGUGGAGCCAUCCAUGCAGUGCCUUAUUCUUCCCUCCUCUGUUAAGCCUCUCUGAAAGGACCUUCACAAACACACCCAGAAGUAUGCCUGUCAAUGCUUUGGGUAUUUAUUAAUCCAACCAAGUUGAAACUUGAAGGUAUCCAUCUCCCAAAGCAAGCAAUUUCAUCAACUAUAUCACCACUGUGUAAUGUGAGGAACCAACACCAGUGUCUGCCUCACUUAUAAGUCUGCCGUAUGCUGCUAAUAAAAUCAAACCCUUAAUCCCAUUGGCUCAGAG